RNAcentral lists this unclassified non-coding RNA (302 nucleotides) under plant metagenome. RNAcentral describes it as "partial contains 5.8S ribosomal RNA, internal transcribed spacer 2, and large subunit ribosomal RNA". The stretch from base 1 to 105 matches the Rfam family "5.8S ribosomal RNA", at positions 50 to 154 of the family's 154-position model. The record is from RNAcentral.
GAAAUGCGAUAAGUAAUGUGAAUUGCAGAAUUCAGUGAAUCAUCGAAUCUUUGAACGCACAUUGCGCCCGCCAGUAUUCUGGCGGGCAUGCCUGUUCGAGCGUCAUUUCAACCAUCAAGCCCCGCGCUUGUGUUGGGGACCUGCGGCUGCCGCAGGCCCUGAAAACCAGUGGCGGGCUCGCUGUCACACCGGGCGUAGUAGAUUUUAUCUCGCUCAGGGCGUGCUGCGGGUUCCGGCCGUUAAAAAGCCUUUUUUACCCAAGGUUGACCUCGGAUCAGGUAGGAAGACCCGCUGAACUGAAG